This 358-nucleotide long non-coding RNA is filed under the name Setaria viridis. RNAcentral's name for it is "long non-coding RNA (SVIR_LNC007990)". Lineage: Eukaryota; Viridiplantae; Streptophyta; Magnoliopsida; Poales; Poaceae. The record is from RNAcentral.
UCAAGACAGCCCUGGGACCACAUUACUGUGGGUCAAUUUUGUAAUAAGGAUCUUGGAAAGGGUUAGAAAUGUAAUCCCACUUUGAAAGCGACAUCUUGAAUAGGGGUCAAGUUACUGUCUUAUACGGGAUAUGCCCGGGAUGUAGUUGUUAGGUAUGGGUAUAAUGGGUAUGUGGAAAUGUAACUUUAUGGCCCUAAAAAGGGAGGUGAACCGUCCCCCUAAGACGGGUACUAUUCAUUGAUAGGAUAGCUUCUGUUACAUUUGCUCGAAUCAUUAUUGUCUUCGUACAUUGCUUCACCUUGCCUAGUGUUUGAUCGAGACCCAACACGGGUAAAUCUCAUGAAUCAGCUACAGCUAC